Molecule: ribosomal RNA, 465 nt
Filed under: bacterium YRD3001
Lineage: Bacteria
Description: bacterial SSU rRNA
Rfam family: Bacterial small subunit ribosomal RNA
Source: RNAcentral
GAUGAACGCUGGCGGCGUGCCUAACACAUGCAAGUCGAACGGAGAUUUAACGCUGAUGAAGCUUCGGCAGAUUCUUGUUAAAUCUUAGUGGCGGACGGGUGAGUAACGCGUGGGCAACCUGCCUCAUACUGGGGGAUAACAGCUGGAAACGACUGUUAAUACCGCAUAAGCGCACGGUAUCGCAUGAUACAGUGUGAAAAACUCCGGUGGUAUGAGAUGGGCCCGCGUCAGAUUAGCCAGUUGGCAGGGUAACGGCCUACCAAAGCGACGAUCUGUAGCCGGCCUGAGAGGGCGGACGGCCACAUUGGGACUGAGACACGGCCCAAACUCCUACGGGAGGCAGCAGUGGGGGAUAUUGCACAAUGGAGGAAACUCUGAUGCAGCGACGCCGCGUGAGUGAAGAAGUAUUUCGGUAUGUAAAGCUCUAUCAGCAGGGAAGAAAGACUCGUAAGAGAGAUGACGGUA